UUUCUCCCAAGGCUGUGCAUGAACUGGUUACAGCUCUCUGGUCCAUGUUUGUUUCAGUGCUGGUGAAGCAAUAUUAAUGAGUUUCCCAGCCACUUAAACCCUGAAGUUAAAUAUUUGCAUCAAACAAAUUGCAUUUGUCUUGCAACCUUGGUAACGAUGUUACCAUAUUUUUCAAGUAUUUGCUGGGGUGCAGUGUGUCUUUGAAAAACAGGGUAUAAAGUAGGUAUUAUUGAUCAUAUACUAUGUAUUAUUAUUUUUUUAUUUAUUAUUUGUAUUGCUGUAGAACUUAGGACCCCUAGUCCUGACAGGUCCCUGCUGAACUAGGCUAGGCACUGUGCAAAUGAAGAGCAAAGAAGGUUCCUGCUCAAGAGCUUUGAAUCUGAAGGUUCUUCCAUAAGCGUACAAAGUCCACUCCAGCUUGUUAGAAACACACGUGGGACCUUGUGAUGAAAGUGCUUCAGGAUGACCUCUGCCUGUGAGUGUGAAGCUCAGUAUACCUCCUUGCAGACCAGGAAGUGGUAGAACAGAAUACUGCACCUUCCCUGCACAGACCUUUCCUGGAGCAGAAACUGAGGGAGCCAGCUAAUUAAGCUCUUCCUCCAUUGAGGGCCAUCCAACAGCAUAGAAGCAAAGCACACUUUCUGCAGUUUUGGCGAGGGAUGCUAGGAAAAUGUAUCAUGGAGUAUCUGUUUAUUGACUUGGACGAGUAUCAGUCAUCUUCCUCCUCAUACACAUACCUGAAGAACAUACAGCUGAGUGUAGCAGUCGAGUACAUUCAUGCAUUUUCGUACACCAAGGCCAAAUCCUGGUGGUUCUGAGUUUGAUGGGGAGACAAAAAACUCGCUGACUUCCAGUGGCCUCGAGUCUGUGAUCUUUAUUUUCUGUGUUAAAAGAUUGUUAAAGCCUCCCUUAUGAACAGUACACUGCACUCAGAAUAUCUACAGCUUCAUGUCGGAGUAGCACAGUUGUGAAAACCUGGCAGCUUCUUUCAUUUGUGAAAACGGGAGAGCGAAACCUCUCCAUCCUUGUCCCAGUGCAUCCAGCAGGUUGUUCACCCUUAUCCUCUGGUUUCAACCUACGCCUUAAGAAACAAAAUUAUGCAGCAGACUGAAUGAUAGAUGCUGGUGUUCCCAUAGUGUUUCUUUUUGGAGGGGGGGGGGGGAAAUAAAAGGAAAAAAAAAUGUUUUUCUUGUAAACCAGUUCAGCAUGAGCUGAUUCUAAGCUGCAUGGCCAUGAGCCAGUUCACACUGCUGGAAGUGAGGUUUGCUUGUUGUUGUGGUGUGAUAUAUGCCAUAGGUGUAACCUCUGGGACCAGUCCUGGUCUGUUCUGUACAGGUUUCCAAUAGGAUAGAGGUCACUGUAGAGGAAGCACUUAUUGCAAGUGAUAGCAUUUCAGUGAAGGUUUUGUAAGGGAGAUCUGUUACCCUGGAACGCAGCUGUUUGGGGGACUUGGUGAGGUGCUUGAGCAGGUGGCUCUGUGGAGGUGUACUUCCUUCUGUGAGCACUUCAUCCUUUCCUGGGCAGCUCCAGGAAAUCUUGCUUGUGUGCAGUUAUGAAGGAAUGCAUUUGCAGGGGUGUGUUUGGGUGCAUGGCUGGCACUUCACAAGCUUCCAUGAGUUUAGCUAUUGGGAAAGCCUCCCCAGGGCAUCUGAUGGUUGUUGGCAUUGCUGAACUAGCUCUAAUGCUUCCCAUGCAGGACUUCCAUGUACAUGGAGCAGAACUGGCAUGACCCUCCUCCCCUCUGUAGCCCAUUCUUAAGUCUCCAACACUCAAGCUGCGCUUCAGUGCAAAAGCUGCAGCUGUGCCCUGGCCACAUUUAACCCAUACAGACUGAGCGCACUGACAGAAUUCACUCCCAUGUUGAUUUCAUCUCCUUCCCCCUGCGCCAAUCCUGUUGAAAUGGAAAUGCUGUAGCAUCACUUGUUGCCAGAGCUGCUACUGCUGCAGUCAGCGAUGCUGCGGCCGUAUUGGGGUGAGCAGGACCCUGCCCAGCGCCCCACGCGUGCUGCGUCAGCGCGUCUCUGCUGUUGCGAUUCUGCCCCCAUCUCCCCCUCCUCUGGCCUUUAUGGAUUACUGGUGAAACUCACUUGUACAGUUUGGAUGUUUGAUAGAUAAAGCACGUAU
Long non-coding RNA from Gallus gallus (chicken), 2124 nucleotides. The record is from Ensembl. NCBI's taxonomy places the organism in Eukaryota, Metazoa, Chordata, Aves, Galliformes, Phasianidae.